GGCCACCCUCGGGGGGCUAUAACAUAGGCGGGGCAUCCCGCCGUAAGCAAACGGAAGACAGAAA
Molecule: non-coding RNA, 64 nt
Organism: Roseovarius mucosus DSM 17069
Lineage: Bacteria; Pseudomonadati; Pseudomonadota; Alphaproteobacteria; Rhodobacterales; Roseobacteraceae
Source: Rfam